UGAGGAAUAUUGGUCAAUGGGAGGAAUCCUGAACCAGCCAUGCCGCGUGCAGGACGACGGCUCUACGAGUUGUAAACUGCUUUUGUACCGGGGUAAAAUGCCUUACGUGUAGGGUUUUGAAAGUACGGUACGAAUAAGGAUCGGCUAACUCCGUGCCAGCAGCCGCGGUAAUACGGAGGAUCCGAGCGUUAUCCGGAUUCAUUGGGUUUAAAGGGUGCGUAGGUUGUUUUAUAAGUUAGCGGUGAAAUACCGAUGCUCAACAUCGGGGCUGCCGCUAAUACUGUAGGACUAGAGAUCGGAUGCAGCAGGCGGAAUGUGUAGUGUAGCGGUGAAAUGCAUAGAUAUUACACAGAACACCGAUUGCGAAGGCAGCUUGCUAGGCCGGAUCUGACACUGAUGC
This 400-nucleotide ribosomal RNA is filed under the name uncultured bacterium. RNAcentral's name for it is "bacterial SSU rRNA". It matches the Rfam family "Bacterial small subunit ribosomal RNA", at positions 355 to 752 of the family's 1533-position model. The record is from RNAcentral.